AUCAGAACCUCUGGGGAUGUCCUGUGGAUUCUGUGGAUCCUGUGGGUUGCAGGGUGGGUCCUACCUAGACCAGGCUGAUCCUGGACCAUCCCACAGAUGCUCCAUCAGAUGUGGAUGUGGGGAGUGUGGAACCCAGAUGCACAAUGAGGGACGUCUGCAGCGACUGAGAAAGAGUCUCACCACAUCCUGACAUGAGGAAAAAGACUUUAUUGAAGACUGCAAUGAGAAAAACUAUCAGACAGCAGACGGCAUGCAUUCAAGUCUGUAGCUGCUGAAUUCAUGGAUGAAUCAUCUGGCACUAGAGAGGAAGACCAUCAAACAUCCACGUCAGCUGAUGGAGGUCCAAGAGUCUCACCAAACAACCAACCUACAGAGUGAAGACCUCGAAUCUGAUUGGACGGCCUCCUAUUCAGCCACAUUUUAGGCUGUUAGAUUGUUCCAGAUAAGACAAGUACAAGAUUCUUCAGAGCCGUUCUACCACGAGCCUGACAGGAAGAACUCCAACAGCUACUGAAUGUUCCUGUGGUUCCCUCAAGGCUACAGGAGGAGUCCUACGAGGACGAGCCGGUCCACCUGAUGGAGGCCAGUCGCUGCGGUUCAAAGCCAACACCGACUACGUGGACUUCUACUGGACCACAGGGAGGCCUUCAAACCGGACCAACAAGUUCAGCGACUCCCCGACUCGUGGGUCUGAGGACGCCGCCGAGCCUCGGUCCAGCCGGCCUCCUGUCUGUGGGUGUUUGAGUGCUGAGAGGUUUGUGGAUGCAUGUGAACGUUCUGUGUUGAAACUGCAGCUUUUGACUCACUAACGCCGGGAAAAACCAAGAGCUCCUUUAUUUGUGACUUCCACUAAAAAAAACUGAUGAAAAUAAGUUUGCCAGGGUUCUGACUGAUAACAGAUUAUUAAAUAAUGAAAAUAACAGUUUAAGUGUUCCUUUAAACAAUCCUUUUAGGUCUACAUUUCCUUUACACUGACUUCUUGGUAUAUGUACAAGUAUUUUGGGUUGAAUAUACCAUUAAGCCCAAUGUUCUGGGGUUCUUCUGGGAAUAUACCAUUAAACCAAAUUUUUAGGUAAAUGUUCCAGGAUGUUGGGUAGAAUAUACCAUCAGAUCAACCUUUCAGGUCUACAUUGGAAGAUUUUAGAGUAGAAUAAUAAUCCAAACCAUCCUUUAGGUCUACAGUUAAGGUGGAAUACUCCUUUACACCAAGAUUUUUUGGUCUACAUUGAAGGGUUUUAGGUGGAAUAUUCCUUUGAACGAACUUUUUAAAUUUAUGUUCAAGGAUGUUGGGUGGAAUAUACCAUCAGACCAACCUCCAAGGUCUACAGUAGUGGAUUUUAGGUGGAAUAUACCAUUAAACUCACCUUUUAGGUCUACAUUGGAGGGUUUUAGAUGGAAUUUUCUUCCAAACCGUCUUUUAGUCUACAUUUAAGGAUGUUUAGGAUGGUAGAUUCUUCCAAACCAACUUCUCAGGUCUACAUUUCAGGUGGAAUAUUCCUCCAUACUAACUUUUUUGGUCUACAUUGAAGGAUUUUUUCUAAACCACCCUUUCAGGUCUAUAUUUGAGGUUUUAGGUGGAAUAUUCCUUUUAACCAGCACCUCAGGUCUGUUUGAGGAUUUUGGAUGGACUCCACGGUUAAACCAACAUUUUAGGUGCAUGUCCAAGGAUUUUUGGUGGAAUGGUCCUUUAAGGUGGAUGUUUGAGGGCCUUGUAGGUGGAAUACUUCCUGAAACCAACCUUUUAGGUCAACAUUCAAAGAUUUAAGGUGGAAUGUUCCUUUAAAUCAAGCUAAAUUUCAUGUUUUGAUCAUUAUCAAGUGAGAAACCUCAAUCCAGACUCCUCAUAAUGACAUUUGAGAUUCAUGCUGCUAUUUGUUUAGUCCAGACUAAAUGACAGAAAUCCACAACUGUAAUUUUAUUUCAUGACUCGGUUAUUAAAUGUCAAAACAAUCCAUGUGACUAUAAAACUCAACAGCUUUACAAACUCUAAGAUUAAACUCCCCACAAGGAUCCAAAAUAAGUUGGACUUCUACAUGAGAGCUUUAAUUAUUCUUC
This is a long non-coding RNA of Amphiprion ocellaris (clown anemonefish), 2055 nucleotides long. The record is from Ensembl. NCBI's taxonomy places the organism in Eukaryota, Metazoa, Chordata, Actinopteri, Pomacentridae.